UGACCAGCCACACUGGAACUGAGACACGGCCCAAACUCCUACGGGAGGCAGCAGUGGGGAAUCUUGCGCAAUGGGCGAAAGCCUGACGCAGCCAUGCCGCGUGAAUGAUGAAGGUCUUAGGAUUGUAAAUUCUUUCACCGGGGACGAUAAUGACGGUACCCGGAGAAGAAGCCCCCGGCUAACUUCGUGCCAGCAKCCGCGGUAAUACGAAGGGGGGCUAGCGUUG
RNAcentral lists this ribosomal RNA (226 nucleotides) under uncultured Mycoplana sp. Its description in RNAcentral is "partial 16S ribosomal RNA". It matches the Rfam family "Bacterial small subunit ribosomal RNA", at positions 301 to 543 of the family's 1533-position model. The record is from RNAcentral. Lineage: Bacteria; Pseudomonadati; Pseudomonadota; Alphaproteobacteria; Hyphomicrobiales; Rhizobiaceae.